Molecule: small nucleolar RNA, 121 nt
Organism: Lolium rigidum
Lineage: Eukaryota; Viridiplantae; Streptophyta; Magnoliopsida; Poales; Poaceae
Product: small nucleolar RNA SNORD14
Exons: 1
Source: RefSeq, a predicted model, not a curated record
UACAAAUGAUGAUGAAAUCAAGUCUUGUUUCUCAAAAUAUUCGCAGUUGCCACCUAACAACUUUUACCCUACCAGGCUCGAGAGUUAAUGCUGCUAGAUCCUUCCUUCGAUGUCUGAUGCA